AUACAGAGGGUGCAAGCGUUAAUCGGAUUUACUGGGCGUAAAGCGCGCGUAGGUGGCUAAUUAAGUCAAAUGUGAAAUCCCCGAGCUUAACUUGGGAAUUGCAUUCGAUACUGGUUAGCUAGAGUAUGGGAGAGGAUGGUAGAAUUCCAGGUGUAGCGGUGAAAUGCGUAGAGAUCUGGAGGAAUACCGAUGGCGAAGGCAGCCAACUGGCCUAAUACUGACACUGAGUUGCGAAAGCAUGGGGAGCAAACAGGAUUAGAUACCCUGGUAGUCCAUGCCGUAAACGAUGUCUACUAGCCGUUGGGGCCCUUGAGGCUUUAGUGGCGCAGCUAACGCGAUAAGUAGACCGCCUGGGGAGUACGGUCGCAAGACUAAAACUCAAAUGAAUUGACGGGG
This 396-nucleotide ribosomal RNA is filed under the name uncultured bacterium. Its description in RNAcentral is "partial 16S ribosomal RNA". It matches the Rfam family "Bacterial small subunit ribosomal RNA", at positions 523 to 918 of the family's 1533-position model. The record is from RNAcentral.